AGUGAACGCUGGCGGUAGGCCUAACACAUGCAAGUCGAACGACAGCACAGUAAGAGCUUGCUCUUACGGGUGGCGAGUGGCGGACGGGUGAGGAAUAGAUCGGAAUCUACUUUUUCGUGGGGGAUAACGUAGGGACACUUACGCUAAUACCGCAUACGACCUACGGGUGAAAGCAGGGGAUCUUCGGACCUUGCGCGAUUGAAUGAGCCGAUGUCGGAUUAGCUAGUUGGCGGGGUAAAGGCCCACCAAGGCGACGAUCCGUAGCUGGCCUGAGAGGAUGAUCAGCCACACUGGAACUGAGACACGGUCCAGACUCCUACGGGAGGCAGCAGUGGGGAAUCUUCGACAAUGGGCGCAAGCCUGACGCAGCCACACCGCGUGAGUGAAGAAGGUCUUCGGGUCGUAAAGCUCUUUUGUUGGGAAAGAAAAGCAGCAUGUUAAUACACCGCCGUCUUGACGGUACCCAAAGAAUAAGCAACGGCUAACUUCGUG
This 492-nucleotide ribosomal RNA is filed under the name uncultured bacterium. Its description in RNAcentral is "partial 16S ribosomal RNA". It matches the Rfam family "Bacterial small subunit ribosomal RNA", at positions 29 to 507 of the family's 1533-position model. The record is from RNAcentral.